RNAcentral lists this ribosomal RNA (518 nucleotides) under uncultured microorganism. RNAcentral describes it as "bacterial SSU rRNA". It matches the Rfam family "Bacterial small subunit ribosomal RNA", at positions 9 to 521 of the family's 1533-position model. The record is from RNAcentral.
GAGUUUGAUCUUGGCUCAGAUUGAACGCUGGCGGCAGGCCUAACACAUGCAAGUCGAGCGGAUGAAGGGAGCUUGCUCCUGGAUUCAGCGGCGGACGGGUGAGUAAUGCCUAGGAAUCUGCCUGGGUAGUGGGGGAUAACGUCCGGAAACGGGCGCUAAUACCGCAUACGUCCUGAGGGAGAAAGUGGGGGAUCUUCGGACCUCACGCUAUCAGAUGAGCCUAGGUCGGAUUAGCUAGUUGGUGGGGUAAAGGCCUACCAAGGCGACGAUCCGUAACUGGUCUGAGAGGAUGAUCAGUCACACUGGAACUGAGACACGGCCCAGACUCCUACGGGAGGCAGCAGUGGGGAAUAUUGGACAAUGGGCGAAAGCCUGAUCCAGCCAUGCCGCGUGUGUGAAGAAGGUCUUCGGAUUGUAAAGCACUUUAAGUUGGGAGGAAGGGCAGUAAGUUAAUACCUUGCUGUUUUGACGUUACCAACAGAAUAAGCACCGGCUAACUUCGUGCCAGCAGCCGCAAG